Molecule: transfer RNA, 71 nt
Filed under: Candidatus Shapirobacteria bacterium
Lineage: Bacteria; Candidatus Shapironibacteriota
Description: tRNA-Gly
Rfam family: tRNA
About the family: Transfer RNA (tRNA) molecules are approximately 80 nucleotides in length. Their secondary structure includes four short double-helical elements and three loops (D, anti-codon, and T loops). Further hydrogen bonds mediate the characteristic L-shaped molecular structure. tRNAs have two regions of fundamental functional importance: the anti-codon, which is responsible for specific mRNA codon recognition, and the 3' end, to which the tRNAs corresponding amino acid is attached (by aminoacyl-tRNA synthetases). tRNAs cope with the degeneracy of the genetic code in two manners: having more than one tRNA (with a specific anti-codon) for a particular amino acid; and 'wobble' base-pairing, i.e. permitting non-standard base-pairing at the 3rd anti-codon position.
Source: RNAcentral
GCGGGAUUAGUUGAGCGGUUCAACGAUACCUUCCCAAGGUAUAAAGACGGGUCCGACUCCCGUAUUCCGCU